Molecule: ribosomal RNA, 914 nt
Filed under: uncultured bacterium
Lineage: Bacteria
Description: bacterial SSU rRNA
Rfam family: Bacterial small subunit ribosomal RNA
Source: RNAcentral
ACGCUGGCGGCGUGCCUAACACAUGCAAGUCGAGCGAGGGUUUGCUCAGUAUUGAGUAUUCUAAGACUAGAAUGUUCAAUUCUGAGCAAAACCAAGCGGCGGACGGGUGAGUAACGCGUGGGUAGCCUGCCCUAUACACAUGGAUAACAUACUGAAAAGUUUACUAAUACAUGAUAAUAUAUAUUUGCGGCAUCGCAGAUAUAUCAAAGUGUUAGCGGUAUAGGAUGGACCCGCGUCUGAUUAGCUAGUUGGUGAGAUAACUGCCCACCAAGGCGACGAUCAGUAGCCGACCUGAGAGGGUGAUCGGCCACAUUGGAACUGAGACACGGUCCAAACUCCUACGGGAGGCAGCAGUGGGGAAUAUUGCACAAUGGGCGAAAGCCUGAUGCAGCAACGCCGCGUGAACGAUGAAGGUCUUCGGAUCGUAAAGUUCUGUUGCAGGGGAAGAUAAUGACGGUACCCUGUGAGGAAGCCCCGGCUAACUACGUGCCAGCAGCCGCGGUAAUACGUAGGGGGCUAGCGUUAUCCGGAUUUACUGGGCGUAAAGGGUGCGUAGGUGGUCCUUCAAGUCGGUGGUUAAAGGCUACGGCUCAACCGUAGUAAGCCGCCGAAACUGGAGGACUUGAGUGCAGGAGAGGAAAGUGGAAUUCCCAGUGUAGCGGUGAAAUGCGUAGAUAUUGGGAGGAACACCAGUAGCGAAGGCGGCUUUCUGGACUGCAACUGACACUGAGGCACGAAAGCGUGGGUAGCAAACAGGAUUAGAUACCCUGGUAGUCCACGCUGUAAACGAUGAGUACUAGGUGUCGGGGGUUACCCCCCUCGGUGCCGCAGCUAACGCAUUAAGUACUCCGCCUGGGGAGUACGCACGCAAGUGUGAAACUCAAAGGGAUUGACGGGGACCCGCACAAGUAGCG